UACGUAGGUGGCAAGCGUUGUCCGGAUUUACUGGGCGUAAAGGAUGCGUAGGUGGAUAUUUAAGUGGGAUGUGAAAUACCCGGGCUCAACUUGGGUGCUGCAUUCCAAACUGGAUAUCUAGAGUGCAGGAGAGGAAAGCGGAAUUCCUAGUGUAGCAGUGAAAUGCGUAGAUAUUAGGAGGAACACCAGUGGCGAAGGCGGCUUUCUGGACUGUAACUGACACUGAGGCAUGAAAGCGUGGGGAGCAAACAGG
RNAcentral lists this ribosomal RNA (253 nucleotides) under uncultured Clostridium sp. RNAcentral describes it as "partial 16S ribosomal RNA". It matches the Rfam family "Bacterial small subunit ribosomal RNA", at positions 524 to 776 of the family's 1533-position model. Lineage: Bacteria; Bacillati; Bacillota; Clostridia; Eubacteriales; Clostridiaceae. The record is from RNAcentral.